Molecule: ribosomal RNA, 397 nt
Filed under: uncultured Sphingobacteriales bacterium
Lineage: Bacteria; Pseudomonadati; Bacteroidota; Sphingobacteriia; Sphingobacteriales
Description: bacterial SSU rRNA
Rfam family: Bacterial small subunit ribosomal RNA
Source: RNAcentral
CAAAUGUAUGUUGACGUAUUCUGAAAGGGAUACUUCUUCGGACAAUAUACAAGGUGCUGCAUGGUUGUCGUCAGCUCGUGCCGUGAGGUGUCGGGUUAAGUCCCAUAACGAGCGCAACCCCUAUCAUUAGUUGCCAUCAGGUCAAGCUGGGGACUCUAAUGAAACUGCCUACGCAAGUAGUGAGGAAGGUGGGGAUGACGUCAAAUCAGCACGGCCCUUACGUCCUGGGCUACACACGUGCUACAAUGGCCGGUACAGAGUGAAGCGAAACCGCGAGGUGAAGCAAACGCAGAAAGCCGGUCUCAGUACGGAUUGGAGUCUGAAACUCGACUUCAUGAAGUUGGAAUCGCUAGUAAUCGCGCAUCAGCAUGGCGCGGUGAAUACGUUCCCGGGCCUU